This 496-nucleotide ribosomal RNA is filed under the name uncultured Acinetobacter sp. Its description in RNAcentral is "bacterial SSU rRNA". It matches the Rfam family "Bacterial small subunit ribosomal RNA", at positions 8 to 502 of the family's 1533-position model. Lineage: Bacteria; Pseudomonadati; Pseudomonadota; Gammaproteobacteria; Moraxellales; Moraxellaceae. The record is from RNAcentral.
AGAGUUUGAUCCUGGCUCAGAUUGAACGCUGGCGGCAGGCUUAACACAUGCAAGUCGAGCGGGGAAGGGUAGCUUGCUACCUGAUCUAGCGGCGGACGGGUGAGUAAUGCUUAGGAAUCUGCCUAUUAGUGGGGGACAACAUUCCGAAAGGAAUGCUAAUACCGCAUACGCCCUACGGGGGAAAGCAGGGGAUCUUCGGACCUUGCGCUAAUAGAUGAGCCUAAGUCAGAUUAGCUAGUUGGUGGGGUAAAGGCCUACCAAGGCGACGAUCUGUAGCGGGUCUGAGAGGAUGAUCCGCCACGCUGGGACUGAGACACGGCCCAGACUCCUACGGGAGGCAGCAGUGGGGAAUAUUGGACAAUGGGCGAAAACCUGAUCCAGCCAUGCCGCGUGUGUGAAGAAGGCCUUUUGGUUGUAAAGCCCUUUAAGCGAGGAGGAGGCUACCGAGAUUAAUACUCUUGGAUAGUGGACGUACUCGCAUCAAACCGGGCCAUUC